RNAcentral lists this transfer RNA (72 nucleotides) under Camelus bactrianus (Bactrian camel). It matches the Rfam family "tRNA". From Rfam's summary of the family: Transfer RNA (tRNA) molecules are approximately 80 nucleotides in length. Their secondary structure includes four short double-helical elements and three loops (D, anti-codon, and T loops). Further hydrogen bonds mediate the characteristic L-shaped molecular structure. tRNAs have two regions of fundamental functional importance: the anti-codon, which is responsible for specific mRNA codon recognition, and the 3' end, to which the tRNAs corresponding amino acid is attached (by aminoacyl-tRNA synthetases). tRNAs cope with the degeneracy of the genetic code in two manners: having more than one tRNA (with a specific anti-codon) for a particular amino acid; and 'wobble' base-pairing, i.e. permitting non-standard base-pairing at the 3rd anti-codon position. RNAcentral also lists the same sequence under 2 other names. Lineage: Eukaryota; Metazoa; Chordata; Mammalia; Artiodactyla; Camelidae. The record is from Rfam by way of RNAcentral.
GAGGGUGUAGCUCAGUGGUAGAGCACAGGCUUAGCAUGCACAAGGUCCUGGGUUCAACCCCCAAUACCUCCA